CCGGGUGUGGUGGUGCACGCCUGUAGUCCCAGGUACUCCAGAGGCUGAGGCAGAAGAAUCGCCUGAACCUGAGAGGCGGAGAUUGCAGUGAGCCGAGGUCGUGCCACCACACUCCAGCCUGGGUGAAAGAGCGAGAGUCUGUCUCAAAAAAUAAAAAUAAAAAGGCCAGGCGCGAUGGUUCACACCUGUAAUCCCAACCCUUUGGGAGGCCGAGGCGGGCGGAUCACCUGAGGUCAGGAGUUCAAGACCAGCCUGGCCAAUAUGGUGAAACCAACCCCGUCUUUACUAAAAAUACAAAAAAUUAGCCGGGCGUGGUGACGCAUGCCUGUAAUCCCAGCUAGUCAGGAGGCUGAGGCAGGAGAAUUGCUUGAACCCAGGAGGCGGAGGUUGCAUUGAGCGAGAUCACGCCAUUGCACUCCAGCCUGGGCAACAAGAGCGAAACUCUGUCUCUAAAAAAAAAAAAGAGCCUCCCUGCCUGAUUCUCCUGCCUCCGCCUGCGGAGUGCCUGCAAUUGCAGGCGCGCGCCGCCACGCCUGACUGGUUUUCGUAUUUUUUUGGUGGAAACGGGGUUUCGCUGUGUUGGCCGGGCUGGUCUCCAGCUCCUAACCGCGAGUGAUCCGCCAGCCUCGGCCUCCCGAGGUGCCGGGAUUGCAGACGGAGUCUGGUUCACUCAGUGCUCAAUGGUGCCCAGGCUGGAGUGCAGUGGCGUGAUCUCGGCUCGCUACAACCUCCACCUUCCAGCCGCCUGCCUUGGCCUCCCAAAGUGCCGAGAUUGCAGCCUCUGCCCGGCCGCCACCCCGUCUGGGAAGUGAGGAGCGUCUCUGCCUGGCCGCCAUCACAUCUAGGAAGUGAGGAGCCUCUCUGCCCGGCCGCCAUCCCAUCUGGGAAGUGAGGAGCGCCUCUUCCGGCCGCCAUCACAUCUAGGAAGUGAGGAGCGUCUCUGCCCGGCCGCCCAUCGUCUGGGAUGUGGGGAGCGCCUCUGCCCCGCCGCCCCGUCUGGGAUGUGAGGAGCGCCCCUGCCCGGCUGCCACCCCGUCUGGGAGGUGAGGAGCGUCUCUGCCCGGCUGCCCCGUCUGAGAAGUGAGGAGACCCUCCGCCCGGCAGCCACCCCGUCUGGGAAGUGAGGAGCGUCUCCGCCUGGCAGCCACCCUGUCCCGGAGGGAGGUGGGGGGGGUCAGCCCCCCGCCAGGCCAGCCGCCCCGUCCGGGAGGGAGGUGGGGGGGUCAGCCCCCCGCCCGGCCAGCCGCCCAGUCCGGGAGGGAGGUGGGGGGGGUCAGCCCCCCGCCCGGCCAGCCGCCCAGUCCGGGAGGGAGGUGGGGGGGUCAGCCCCCUGCCCGGCCAGCCGCCCCGUCCGGGAGGGAGGUGGGGGGGUCAGCCCCCCGCCCGGCCAGCCGUCCCGUCCGGGAGGUGAGGGGCGCCUCUGCCCGGCCGCCCCUACUGGGAGGUGGGGAGCCCCUCUGCCUGGCCAGCCGCCCCGUCCGGGUGGGAGGUGGGGGGGUCGGCCCCCCGCCCGGCCAGCCGUCCCUUCCGGGAGGUGAGGGGCGCCUCUGCCCGGCCGCCCCUACUGGGAAGUGAGGAGCCCCUCUGCCCGGCCACCACCCCGUCUGGGAGGUGUGCCCAGCAGCUCAUUGAGAACGGCCAGGAUGACAAUGGCGGCUUUGUGGAAUAGAAAGGGGGGAAAGGUGGGGAAAAGAUUGAGAAGUCGGAUGGUUGCCGUGUCUGUGUAGAAGUAGACAUGGGAGACUUUUCAUUUUGUUCUGUACUAAGAAAAAUUCUUCUGCCUUGGGAUCCUGUUGAUCUGUGACCUUACCCCCAACCCUGUGCUCUCUGAAACAUGUGCUGUGUCCACUCAGAGUUAAAUGGAUGAAGGGCGGUGCAAGAUGUGCUUUGUUAAACAGAUGCUUGAAGGCAGCAUGCUCAUUAAGAGUCAUCACCACUCCCUAAUCUCAAGUACCCAGGGACACAAACGCUGCGGAAGGCCGCAGGGUCCUCUGCCUAGGAAAACCAAAGACCUUUGUUCACUUGUUUAUCUGCUGACCUUCCCUCCACUAUUGUCCUAUGACCCUGCCAAAUCCCCCUCUGUGAGAAACACCCAAGAAUGAUCAAUAAAAAACAAAACAAAACAAAACAAAAACAAAAAAACAAAAAAAAGAAAAAAGAAAAAAAUGCACUUCAAGUUAUGCCCUUCCAAAUUUUUUCCUAUGCAUUUAUAUAUGUGUGUGCAUGCAAAGAGAUACAGUUUUGCUCUGUAUUUCAAAAAUUCACUUAGAGGAAUAGUUUAAUUUCUAAGGUAAACUUUAUUUGAAAAAAGGGCCCGCAGUAUUUUACUUUAACCAGAUACUGAGACUGAGUUUCACGGGAUGUGAGGAAAUGCCAGAAUCAGGGCUUGAUCAUGCUUAUUGUAGAUGGCCCUUUCCCCUCAGAAAUGGGAGAGAAAUUCGACUGUAGGAAGAGAAAUGGAAGGAUGAUCAGAAGUGCCU
RNAcentral lists this long non-coding RNA (2480 nucleotides) under Homo sapiens (human). RNAcentral's name for it is "HSALNT0341653". Lineage: Eukaryota; Metazoa; Chordata; Mammalia; Primates; Hominidae. The record is from RNAcentral.